UGGGGAAUUUUGGACAAUGGGGGAAACCCUGAUCCAGCCAUCCCGCGUGUGCGAUGAAGGCCUUCGGGUUGUAAAGCACUUUUGUCAGGAAAGAAACGUCAUGGGUUAAUACCCCGUGAAACUGACGGUACCUGCAGAAUAAGCACCGGCUAACUACGUGCCAGCAGCCGCGGUAAUACGUAGGGUGCAAGCGUUAAUCGGAAUUACUGGGCGUAACGCGUGCGCAGGCGGUUCGGAAAGAAAGAUGUGAAAUCCCAGAGCUCAACUUUGGAACUGCAUUUUUAACUACCGGGCUAGAGUGUGUCAGAGGGAGGUGGAAUUCCGCGUGUAGCAGUGAAAUGCGUAGAUGUGCGGAGGAACACCGAUGGCGAAGGCAGCCUCCUGGGAUAACACUGACGCUCAUGCACGAAAGCGUGGGGAGCAAACAGG
Molecule: ribosomal RNA, 429 nt
Filed under: Acidobacteriota bacterium
Lineage: Bacteria; Pseudomonadati; Acidobacteriota
Description: Acidobacteria bacterium partial 16S ribosomal RNA
Rfam family: Bacterial small subunit ribosomal RNA
Source: RNAcentral